Molecule: ribosomal RNA, 460 nt
Filed under: uncultured bacterium
Lineage: Bacteria
Description: partial 16S ribosomal RNA
Rfam family: Bacterial small subunit ribosomal RNA
Source: RNAcentral
CCUACGGGAUGCAGCAGUGAGGAAUAUUGGUCAAUGGGCUUACGCCUGAACCAGCCAAGUCGCGUGAGGGAAGACUGCCCUAUGGGUUGUAAACCUCUUUUGUCAGGGAGCAACGCCGGCUACGUGUAGCCGGACUGAGAGUACCUGAAGAAAAAGCAUCGGCUAACUCCGUGCCAGCAGCCGCGGUAAUACGGAGGAUGCGAGCGUUAUCCGGAUUUAUUGGGUUUAAAGGUUGCGUAGGCGGAAUGCCAAGUCAGCGGGAAAAUCGCGGGGCUCAACCUCGCUCCGCCGUUGAAACUGGCGUUCUUGAGUGGGCGAGAAGUAUGCGGAAUGCGUGGUGGAGCGGUGAAAUGCAUAGAUAUCACGCAGAACUCCGAUUGCGAAGGCAGCAUACCGGCGCCCAACUGACGCUGAAGCACGAAAGCGUGGGUAUCGAACAGGAUUAGAUACCCGUGUAGUC